This 754-nucleotide long non-coding RNA is filed under the name Ornithorhynchus anatinus (platypus). RNAcentral describes it as "lncRNA (ENSOANG00000046892.1)". Lineage: Eukaryota; Metazoa; Chordata; Mammalia; Monotremata; Ornithorhynchidae. The record is from RNAcentral.
GGAGUCAGGAUUAGAACCCAGGUCCUUCUGGCUCUCAGGCCUGUGCUCUCUCCAUUAGGCCACGCUGCUUCUUUUGACCCUGGGCUUCCUGACUCCAAGGCCUAUGCUCUGUCCACUGAGCCACAUUUCCUACUCCAAGAUGGGAGUCAGCAGGAGGUCCAGCCCUAAGACAUUGUUUUGGAGUCAUUUUUCUGAAUUCUCAUAACCAUGGAAGGAUGCUUGAUAGUGUGUGCCCCUUUGAACUGAUGAGGAAAUUGAGGUGUGAUUUGCCCUAACCCAGUACUUAGUAGAAUGCUCUAUACAUGGGGAGCUUGGGAGCCGUUUGUUGUAGACUCUGCUGACCACUUUGACAACCGCUGCCUGAAGACUAACAGGCUCCUACUGGGUUUCAGAUUCCCUGUGAUGAAAGGAGGAGGAGGAGAAGUAGGUGGCCUAGUGGAAAGAAUCCAGGCCUGGGAGUCAGAAGACCAAGCUUCUAAUCCCUGCUCCGCCACUUUUCUGCUGUGUGAAUGUGGGCAAGUCGCUUAACUUCUUUAUGCCUCGAUUUCCUCAUCUUUUAAAUGGAGAUUAAAUACUUGUUCUCGCUCCUCUUUUGACUCUGAGUCCCAUGGAGGACAGUGACUUAAUAUAGUGCUUGAAAUAGGAAAUGCUUACCAAAUACCAUAAUUAUUAAGCUUCUUGUGGCCAGGGUACCUGUCUACCAAAUCUGUUGUAUUGCACUCUCCCAAGUGCUUAGUUAGUGCUCCAUACCCAG